This 212-nucleotide ribosomal RNA is filed under the name uncultured bacterium. Its description in RNAcentral is "partial 16S ribosomal RNA". It matches the Rfam family "Bacterial small subunit ribosomal RNA", at positions 524 to 734 of the family's 1533-position model. The record is from RNAcentral.
UACGUAGGGGGCGAGCGUUGUCCGGAAUCAUUGGGCGUAAAGCGCGUGUAGGCGGUUCAGUAAGUCUGCUGUGAAAGUCCAGGGCUCAACCCUGGGAUGCCGGUGGAUACUGCUGAACUAGAGUGCGGAAGAGGCGAGUGGAAUUCCCGGUGUAGCGGUGAAAUGCGCAGAUAUCGGGAGGAACACCAAGUUGCGAAGGCAGCUCGCUGGGA